This 274-nucleotide ribosomal RNA is filed under the name uncultured bacterium. Its description in RNAcentral is "partial 16S ribosomal RNA". It matches the Rfam family "Bacterial small subunit ribosomal RNA", at positions 523 to 796 of the family's 1533-position model. The record is from RNAcentral.
AUACGGAGGGUGCAAGCGUUACUCGGAAUCACUGGGCGUAAAGCGCGCGCAGGCGGCUAUUUAAGUUGGAUGUGAAAGCCUACGGCUCAACCGUAGAACUGCAUCCAAAACUAUUUAGCUAGAGUGUGGGAGAGGAAGAUGGAAUUAGUUGUGUAGGGGUAAAAUCCGUAGAGAUAACUAGGAAUACCAAAAGCGAAGGUAAUCUUCUGGAACACUACUGACGUUGAGGCGCGAAAGCGUGGGGAGCAAACAGGAUUAGAAACCCCAGUAGUCC